This is a non-coding RNA of Pelobates cultripes (western spadefoot toad), 202 nucleotides long. Lineage: Eukaryota; Metazoa; Chordata; Amphibia; Anura; Pelobatidae. The record is from the annotation of a GenBank genome assembly.
GUUUUUAUUACAGAAAAAGCAAAAAAAAUCUAUAAUGAAAAAGACUGAAGGGAGAGCAGCUCAUUAGGUAAAAUAGAUGAGUGGAGAUCACAUUAUUUUCAAUAACAUGAAAAUGAGACACAAUUUAAAACAGGGGUGAGGGAACAGGAACGACGACACUGCAAUCUUGAAUUAGGAGAAUUGUAAAUAUGACAGAUCUGCU